RNAcentral lists this ribosomal RNA (405 nucleotides) under uncultured bacterium. RNAcentral's name for it is "partial 16S ribosomal RNA". It matches the Rfam family "Bacterial small subunit ribosomal RNA", at positions 30 to 526 of the family's 1533-position model. The record is from RNAcentral.
AUUGAACGCUAGCGGGAUGCUUUACACCUGCAAGUCGAACGAGUGGCGGACGGGUGAGUAAUAUAUCGGAAAGUGCACAGUAGCGGGGGAUAACUACUCGAAAGAGUGGCUAAUACCGCAUAAUAUUGGGGCGGCCGAUAUAGGAGUAGAUAGUUGGUGGGGUAAAGGCGCACAAAGGCAACGACCCGUAGCUGGUUUGCGAGGACGACCAGCCACACGGGGACUGAGACACGGCCCAGACUCCUACGGGAGGCAGCAGUGGGGAAUUUGGGACAAGGGGGGAAACCCUGAUCCAGCCAUCCCGCGUGUAUGAGAAGGCCUUCGGGUUGUAAAGUACUUGUGGCGGAGAAGCGGUAUCUGCAGAAUAAGCACCGGCUAACUACGUGCCAGCAGCCGCGGUAAUUC